Non-coding RNA from Vicugna pacos (alpaca), 460 nucleotides. The record is from RefSeq and is a predicted model, not a curated record. Lineage: Eukaryota; Metazoa; Chordata; Mammalia; Artiodactyla; Camelidae.
GAUGCUGAUCUUCCAGCAAAAGAGGAAUCUACGUCUUCAGUACUUCUCCAUCUGAGUGCAGAAACUCAGCUUCUUCUAAAGGAGAUAUUAUCUGUGAAACAGAUGCAAAAGAAAUGUGAAGCACUAGAGGAGGAGAAGAAGAAGUUGGAGGAAGAAGCAGUUAACCUCAGACGUCACCUCGAAAUGAAUACAGUGUAUCACGUCAAGUGGAGCAGGACAAACGGGAGACUGAAGAGCAAACAAGACGGGAUGUAGUAAAAACACUGAAAAAAUUCAGGCGAGCUGUGCAGUACAGACGGGAAACUGAAGAGCAAGGAAGACAUGAUGUAUUAGAAAAACUGAAAGAAAUCAGCCAGUUUUUACAGGCACAAGCAGCACUUCAAGAAAACGUGUUAAGAGAGUGCAGACGUGCUUCAGUAAGUCAAACGGAACAGAGAGCUAAAGAUCUGGAACCUGAACU